CCAGACUCCUACGGGAGGCAGCAGUGGGGAAUAUUGGACAAUGGGGGGAACCCUGAUCCAGCGACGCCGCGUGAGCGAUGAAGUAUUUCGGUAUGUAAAGCUCUAUCAGCAGGGAAGAAGAUGACGGUACCUGACUAAGAAGCCCCGGCUAACUACGUGCCAGCAGCCGCGGUAAUACGUAGGGGGCAAGCGUUAUCCGGAUUUACUGGGUCUAAAGGGAGCGUAGACGGCGAUGCAAGCCAGAUGUGAAAGCCCGGGGCUCAACCCCGGGACUGCAUUUGGAACUGUGUGGCUGGAGUGCAGGAGGGGCAGGCGGAAUUCCUGGUGUAGCGGUGAAAUGCGUAGAUAUCAGGAGGAACACCGGCGGCGAAGGCGGCCUGCUGGACCGUGACUGACGUUGAGGCUCGAGAGCGUGGGGAGCAAACAGGAUUAGAUACCCCGGUACC
RNAcentral lists this ribosomal RNA (446 nucleotides) under uncultured bacterium. Its description in RNAcentral is "bacterial SSU rRNA". It matches the Rfam family "Bacterial small subunit ribosomal RNA", at positions 331 to 794 of the family's 1533-position model. The record is from RNAcentral.